AACAUUGCACAAUGGGCGAAAGCCUGAUGCCGCAACGCCGCGUGAGUGAAGAAGGCAUUCGGGUCGUAAAGCUCUUUGCUCAGGGAUGAUAAUGACAGGACCUGAAAAACAACCAACGGCCAACUACGUGACAGCAGCCGCGGUAAUACGUAGGUGGCGAGCGUUGUCCGGAAUUACUGGGCGUAAAGGAUGCGUAGGUGGAUACUUAAGUGGGAUGUGAAAUCCCCGGGCUCAACCCGGGAACUGCAUUCCAAACUGGGUAUCUAGAGUGCAGGAGAGGAAAGCGGAAUUCCUAGUGUAGCGGUGAAAUGCGUAGAUAUUAGGAGGAACACCAGUGGCGAAGGCGGCUUUCUGGACUGUAACUGACACUGAGGCAUGAAAGCGUGGGUAGCAAACAGG
This 399-nucleotide ribosomal RNA is filed under the name uncultured bacterium. RNAcentral's name for it is "partial 16S ribosomal RNA". It matches the Rfam family "Bacterial small subunit ribosomal RNA", at positions 360 to 776 of the family's 1533-position model. The record is from RNAcentral.